This 783-nucleotide ribosomal RNA is filed under the name uncultured bacterium. Its description in RNAcentral is "bacterial SSU rRNA". It matches the Rfam family "Bacterial small subunit ribosomal RNA", at positions 8 to 796 of the family's 1533-position model. The record is from RNAcentral.
AGAGUUUGAUCCUGGCUCAGAACGAACGUUGGCGGCGUGGAUUAGGCAUGCAAGUCGAACGAGAACCGUCGGGCAACUGAUGGGGAAAGUGGCGAAAGGGGCAGUAAGGCGUGGGUAACCUACCCCGGGGACCGGGAUAGCCAUCCUAACGGGUGGGUAAUACCGGGCGAUCUAGCGGAGGCGCCUGUCUCUGCUAGGAAAUGAAUUUCGCCUCGGGAGGGGCUCACGUGGUAUUAGCUAGUUGGUAGGGUAACGGCCUACCAAGGCCAAGAUGCCUAGCGGGUGUGAGAGCACGACCCGCGCCACUGGCACUGAGACACUGGCCAGACUCCUACGGGAGGCUGCAGUCGAGGAUCUUCGGCAAUGGGCGCAAGCCUGACCGAGCGACGCCGCGUGCGCGAUGAAGGCCUUCGGGUUGUAAAGCGCUGUCGAGGGGGAGGAAAGCCCGCAAGGGCCUGACCUAUCCCUGGAGGAAGCACGGGCUAAGUUCGUGCCAGCAGCCGCGGUAAGACGAACCGUGCGAACGUUGUUCGGAAUCACUGGGCUUAAAGGGCGCGUAGGCGGUCGGUCACGUCCGGGGUGAAAUCUUUCGGCUUAACCGGAAAAGUGCCUGGGAUACGGACCGACUUGAGCGAGGUAGGGGCAGGUGGAACUUCCAGUGGAGCGGUGAAAUGCGUUGAUAUUGGAAGGAACUCCGGUGGCGAAAGCGACCUGCUGGACCUUUUUCUGACGCUGAGGCGCGAAAGCUAGGGGAGCAAACGGGAUUAGAUACCCCCGUAGUCC